RNAcentral lists this long non-coding RNA (3374 nucleotides) under Orbicella faveolata. Its description in RNAcentral is "uncharacterized LOC110066360, transcript variant X1". Lineage: Eukaryota; Metazoa; Cnidaria; Anthozoa; Scleractinia; Merulinidae. The record is from RNAcentral.
AUGGGCCACCCCACAUGUGUGGCUGUAUGUCAUAAGGCAUUACAUCACAGCAGUAAAGGGAAUUGUGGAUGAAAAUAUCAGUGAGGCAGUCAUAGUCUCUGUGUUUGCACAUGUUUGUCAUGUGAUGACCUUUAUACCUGCUGACUGCAUGGAUCAACUAUUUGUCCUGACUCUGGACUUGGUGACCAGGCCAACAGUGUCAAACAGUAAUAUCAGAGAGCAGCUGAAGAGUUCAGUCAACAUUUUAUCAUCUGAAGUACACAGGGCAGCAUUGACUCAAAAACUAAAUCAAAAUUUGCAGACUAUUGCUGGCAUAGUAUAAAAUGUAGGCAUUGAAAUGGAAUCAAAAAUGACAACUGUGGACACCCAGUGACACUCUUUUCUCACUUUGUUUUAUUUUCUUAGUCACUGAUAUGGAACUGAGUGAGCCAAGAAAUGCCAUUAAAAUCGCAUAAUGCUCUUUAACUUGCAAACUGCUUUUCUUUGGUCGAAAUACUAUGAAUCAACUUGAAGCACCAGCCAGAUGUUAAAGUUAAAUAAUCAAAGCCCAGAAUGCCACCACAGCAUAGAUAGAAUAAAAAUAUAAAUGAUAACAAUGUAUAAACAGCAGUUUACAGAUUUCUGAGUAAAUAAUUGUUUAUAAGUGCAUAUUAUAAAUAAAGUUAUUACAAACAAAGGGAGACAGGUAAUAAGAAAUGAUACUGAGAACAAGACACUGAUUCCAUUUAAAUAUGACUUCAUGUUAAACAAGAAUUAUUUAAUGUACAAUAACUUUAAAAAACCUGUAUUUGUGAUGUACUUGGAAUCCGGCCAUAGUCAUGACAAGUAACACACCACGUUGGUGAUGGAUUCUUGUGUAAAGAUGUGGUCAGUGCUCUUGUUGAAGUUAAUUCCGUGGUAGAAGUACCUGGUAUUGGAGACUUCUACAGUGAAAAGGAAAUCAGUGCCUUGUCGAGGCCUAUGCUAGGAAGAAACCUCGGGAAAAGCUGCACAUAAUGAGUGUUACUUACCUGAAGUUCAACUGGUUAUGUCUUCAAAUUGAUCCAAAGCCCAGCAGUUCUAACCUCAAUAGUACAGCUACCUCCAGGUCAAGAGGGUCCAUAAGUCACUCACUCACUCGUGCCAUUGCCCAUUACACCUUGGUGGCAGGUAGGGCAGCAACAUAAUCCUUCCACAUCUGCUGGUCCUUUGCCAUGACUUGAACGCCCCGUCAGGUCUUUCCCCUCUGCUUCAUUUCCUUUUGCCUUGCUGUCCCUCUGGCAUCCAGUGUAGGGUGGUCUUGAUGAUGGACACUUCUUGGUGGGUGACAUGGCCAAUCCAUCUCCAACACGUUCUCAUCAGAAUGGUAGCCAUGGAUUUAAGAGCAUAAGUGAUUUACAAAGGAAUUCAUCUACAUAGCUAAUUUGUUCCAGGACACAGAAAGACUGUCAGUUUAGAGGCUAAUUUGAAAAGAAUCCUUACAAAUGGCUGAAUUUUUCGCAGUUUCAACUCGGUUUCGGAGGAAACUUUUGCAAGUUCAAAGUGGGAGCUGAAGCCAAUGCAUUAGUGUGGUACACAAGGAGAAGCCACGAAAGUGAAACGUAAUUAUAAGGUCCCACAGAAUCUUACGACGUUUGAAGAAAGUGAAGAACAACAAAGCUAACGGAACCUUAGAGGACUAAAUUAAAUUUAAACUUUGUUAUGGAAGAAGAAAAGAAAGGAAAAAAUGUAUUUGAUUUAAAUUUUGAGUACGAGAUCGAAUACGGGUACGACUUUUCAAUUCUAGUUUGCAGCUUUCACCUUAUAACAUGACAUUCCUAUCUCCUCCCACGAGUUACUCUGGCUACCUAAAACCAACAAGAAGAGCGCGAGCUCUGAUCUGGAAACAUCAGUGGUUUGAAUUCGGACAUUUCACUCGUACUUAAUCUCGUUCUCGUACUGCAAUGAAUGAGGCAUUUUUGUGUCUCUUUUACAUAGUAACGACAGUAACAAUGUUGACAAUGCUUACACUCUCACUAUCAAAUGUAUGCAAAUUUGAACGCGAACCACAUUCUGUUACCUUUUUUGUUAAAGAAAAUACAACUGCAAAAAUGGAUGUCAGCUUUUCUGUUUGGAUUUAUUCCUACGCGGAUAGCCAUCUAAAGUUGAUGGCAUUUAAUAGUACAUCGACCAAAGCAUACCGCGCGAAAGCCUUUAGGCUUCUUGUUGAAUUUCGUAUUUUUUGGAAAACUAGAUAUUUCGUUAAUAUAUUUAAACUGAUAAACGUUACCAAUAUAUCACUCUUAGUGUUUGAAUCCAACUUUUUUAACUCAAAAGUAAUAAAAGAGUUUUAUAAAUGUUGAUAUUACACUUCGUAUGGCAACACUUUGAAAGUUCAUAAGUGCAUGAACAUUGUCGCUUACGGAAAAGUCAAUAAGUAAACGUUAUCAACUUUUCAUUUUGUAUUUGAUUUUUUAUUGACGGACUUUUGGGCAGAAAUUUUAUUAUGCAGAGAGGUUCCAGGGAUGUAUUUAGGUCUCGAUACAGGUAAAAGAAUUCCUUGUGUAAUUUUUGAAGAGAGUAGAUUCGUGUUUAAUUAUUUUUGUAGGUCAAAGUUAAACUAUCCUAAAGUUUUGUAAACUAGACGUUAAGUUUAAUCGCUUCAUCUUCACAAUGAAACUUUACGUUUGUUAGAUUUGACUCUGAUGACGAUCGACUUCUUUCCACAAGGUCAUCAGUUUCGGAAUAAGGCUUUGUUAUGUCGAAGACAAACGGACUGCCUUAAUUCCAUAACGAUCACUGUGUAAAAUGACAAAAAAUUGCAAUCUUGCAAAGAUGAACAAUACAUGGAACGCCUGUCUGGCCUCAGGACUUCAGCGACCUUGUUUCCUUGACUCCUGGACUCUACAGCUGUAUAGCAAGACAAUUCUUUCCUUAAAAGACAUACUGUACACAUUUUAUAAUAGCACCAUUUACAAGGUUUUUUUCUCCAUAAUACAACAUAGCAUUUUCAAACUUUCACGAUAAAAAAAGACAUUAAACAAAGUGACUUUAAGUUAGCCCUACUAAGCUGAUUAUCCUUGGUAUCAAUGCGUUUCCUUGGCAACGCUCAACAAACCUUAUGGUUUGGUCGUGAUUUGUUAUUUUUCUUUUUUUUCCCCCUAUAUUGUUAUUUCAUUUUCUGUGCCUGAACGUACUGAUAGAGAACUUGCCGUUUGAUAACAGCAGAUGAUAUUUGUUGAACCGAGCUAGGGGUAAUCCUAAAAGAUACGCAGUCACAGUAGCGUUCUUCGCACUAAAAAGAGAGAAGUGACCUUACCCGAAAAUUAACCGCUAUCCUCGGUCAUAUCACACGGCAAAUAAAAAACCACUUGGCUCCGGGGAUAAAAACUGAGUGUAUCACGCUGAUGAGAUGA